Cyprinus carpio carpio is the source of this 419-nucleotide long non-coding RNA. The record is from Ensembl. Lineage: Eukaryota; Metazoa; Chordata; Actinopteri; Cypriniformes; Cyprinidae.
UAGGUCAUUUAACACGGGACCUAAUGUUCAUGGGGAAACUCCAUCCCUUCAAGGUGCUCUUGAACCCUUAACAUGCUCACAAUGCAGUGUCUGCUGUUUUAUUUAUCAUUUGCAUUCUGGCGUUUUAUGGAUAAAUAAGCUGCAAAAGUGAAUUCUGAGGGAAUGUUCUCAAUCUUGGGAUUUCUUAAGAUGCAUUGAAGACCUCCAGUCACUAGAAAAAAUGCCAACUUUAGAAAAACAACAUCUUCUCUGCUUCAUUGUGGUUUCCAUGGAUACAAUCAAUGGUCUGAGAAAGACAGAUUGGCCCAAAGCUUUCAUGAUGGAAACGGGCCCUGAGAUUCAAAAAUGUGUUAGGAAACCUCUUCCUGUCAGCUGAUGGCAUGAUGCUUAUGAACAGAUGGAGCCAUCUGAACCAACAA